Long non-coding RNA from Lolium rigidum, 979 nucleotides. RefSeq lists it as uncharacterized. The record is from RefSeq and is a predicted model, not a curated record. Lineage: Eukaryota; Viridiplantae; Streptophyta; Magnoliopsida; Poales; Poaceae. The transcript is spliced from 3 exons.
UGUUGCCGCCGGGCCGUAGUUCCCCAGAUCUCAGAUGUCCAGACCAGAGUGUCGGUGCAGGCGUAGAGCAAGCCGACGCGGCCGGACAGGAAAAUCACGGCGAAGAGCGGCCGCCGAGGCGGGCGCACGGCCACUUAACAUCGGUGUGUGCCUGGAGGAGAACGACCGUUUCGCCGGCGAGCAGAACCGAGGCGAUGGACUUCCCGAUGGAGCCGGUUAGCAGGUGCGAGCUCUCCUUCCCCGGCAGUUUUUCAGCUAAUUUCGUUUGCGCAUCUCGUUUCCCUGUUGCAGCCUUCCAAUAUAUGAGGGGACGGCGGACACAGGGGUGGAUGGCGUGGUAGCAAAGAGGACGGAGAGUGCAGCCAUGUCGGCUCGGUGGAGCCUGAGCAGUCCGUGAUGGGCAUCGUGCAGGCAAUAGCGGGAUGUGGUGAGCAGGAUGCUGACGGACAGGCAGAUUUUGCAGUGUCAACCGGCAAAAUGGAUCCGCAAUCUCCGGGCUGGACAAAAAGGUCGCUGAUCGGAAGAGCCCCCCAGACAGGACACCAUGCGCAUCGAGAAAGAGUGCGCUGGAAAAGUCAUUCCGUGGUUAUACAGAGAAGCUUGGCGAUGAGGUCAUAGAUCCAUGCCUAGGGACAACCUUCGACUCGCUGGGUGAAGCAUAUGAUUUCUACAACUUGUACUCGUGGGAACAUGGUUUUGGGAUUAGGUACGGGAAGAGCCGUCUAAAUUUAGAGAAGACGAAAUGCAUGCAAGAGAUUGUUUGUGGGUGCUCGGGGACUAACAUCAGAAAACACAAAGUCAUGCAGGUGUGAAUGCCCAGCUAUGAUAAGAUUGUUAGCCUUGCUGGCUAGUUCACAGGUAGUGUAGUGUGUGGGAAGUGGUCUGGUUUUGUUAUGCUGCCAAAAGCUUCAUGCACCUUGUAUUGCAUAGUGCUAUUUAUAGGAUACAAGCUAGGUACAACACGUAGAUUUCUAAAGCC